This 1562-nucleotide ribosomal RNA is filed under the name activated sludge metagenome. RNAcentral describes it as "bacterial LSU rRNA". It matches the Rfam family "Archaeal large subunit ribosomal RNA", at positions 1243 to 2781 of the family's 2987-position model. The record is from RNAcentral.
GAUGGCCCCGAAAAUUGACGGGGCUAAGCCAGCCACCGAUACCUCAGAACGCAGCAUACGCUGCGCUGGUAGGAAGGCGUCCUGGUUGGGCAGAAGCUGGGCUGUGAGGUCCAGUGGACCGAUCAGGAUUGCGAAUCCCGGUGGUAGUAACAGCAAAGAAAAGUGAGAAUCUUUUCCGCCGAAGGGGCCAGGGUUCCCCGGCAACGAUCGUCAGCCGGGGGUAAGUCGAUCCUAAGGCAUAACUUAACCGAUUAUGCCGAAAAAGGGAAUCCGGCUAAAAUUCCGGAACCAUAGAGGUACGCGCGGCAACGCAAGCUUAGUGUUGACGUUUCGGGGUAUGCUGAGCAAGGUCUUCGCCUUGUUUAACUGUAUAAAUCUGGGGAGUGUCGUAAUGACGAGAACUAGACGAAAUCAGGAAUAGCCACCCGUCUUAGGGAGGUUCAGCAGAUCUCUGGAGCCACUGAAAAACACACUAAGAAGGAUCCUUUAUGAUCGUACCUAGAACCGACACAGGUGUCCCUAGGCAAGAAACCUAAGGCGUGUCGGGUAUACACUAAUGCGAGGGAACUCGGCAAAUUAGCCCCGUACCUUUGGUAUAAGGGGUGCCUGUUCUUUCAGUCUAGUGCUGAGAGAGCAGGUCGCAGUGACAAAGGGGUCUCGACUGUUUAAUAAAAACACAGGAAGCCGCAAGAGCGAAAGCUUGUGAACGGCUUCUGAAUCCUGGCCAGUACAGGUACCUGAAACCUGGGUCCAACUGGGCUAAGGGCCUGCAAACGCCGGGAGUAACUCUGACUCUCUCAAGGUAGCCAAAUGCCUUGUCGGGUAAGUUCCGACGUGCAUGAAUGGAUCAACGAGGGCCCCACUGUCCCCGCGUAGUACCCGGUGAAACCACAUAACGUGGACGAACAGUCCACGAUCUCCCAGCGGGAAAAGAAGUCCCUGUGGAGUUUUACUGCAGCCUGCCGCUGGAAUACGGUUGUGGAUGCAGAGCGUAGUCGGGAGCCGUCGAUCUUGGGUUCUCCGGGACCCGGGGGAGGCAACAAUGGAACACCGACUUUCUGCAACCGUGUUUCUCACCGGCCCCUAGCGGGCUGGAACAACGGUAGGUGGGCAGUUCGGCUGGGGCGGCACGCCCUUGAAAAGAUAUCAAGGGCGCCCUAAGGUUGGCUCAGGAGGGACAGAAAUCCUCCGUAGAGUGCAAGGGCAAAAGCCAGCCUGACUGGAUCCCGAACAGUAAGGGAUGCAGAGGAGAAAUCCGGGCUUAGCGAUCAUCCAUGCUCCCCAUUGGUGGGGGCUGGAUGUGUCAGAAAAAUUACCCUAGGGAUAACAGGCUUGUCGCGGGCGAGAGUCCCCAUCGACCCCGCGGCUUGGUACCUCGAUGUCGGCUCUUCCUAUCCUGGCCCUGCAUAAGGGGCCAAGGGUGAGGCUGCUCGCCUAUUAAAAGGGAACGUGAGCUGGGUUUAGACCGUCGUGAGACAGGUUGGUUGCUAUCUAAUGGAAGUGUUAGUAGUCUGAGGGGAAGGUGGCUCCAGUACUAGAGGAACGAGUUGUCGGCGCCUCUG